UGGGAGACGGUGGCGGCUUAGAAGGCAUUGUCUGCGAAUUUUAAGCAUUGACUUUGAGAAGUGUCUUCCACUCACCACAACCGAAGAAAUCACCAUGUCCAAGGCUCUAUUCCUCGUUCUUGCUGCCCUCCUCAUCGUCGCCGUCGUGGCUGACUUUGACUUCGAAGAAGAUGAAGCCAUGGAUGAGAUGCUCUCCUUCGACAAGAGAGGAAGCAUGAUGAACAAGUACAGAUUCUGUAUGAAGGGAGCCAACAGCUGCUGGUGUAAUAAGAAGACCAGGAAGGUUGUCUUCUGUACUGGAAAGGACUAGACACUUCUCUUCGGUAUAUUAACCCUUGACCCCCCAAGAUACCAAAUUGAACACUCAUCCUGCCAACAUCCAUCGACCAGAUACCAGUCCAACCGAAACGAGAUAGCAAGCUUGUUCAUCUCUAAGAUAUGAAGUCUUUAUUUUUGUAUCAAAAAGUGAACUAACCUUUUCGAAGACAGCGCAAAUAGGGCUGACGAGCCCAAUUUUUUGGAAAGAAUGUCCAUAAUUUGAUAAAAUUGUAAAAUUUGCCAGACGAUUAAAAUCGUAAUAACCCCUCCUUACAAUUGAA
This 599-nucleotide long non-coding RNA is filed under the name Strongylocentrotus purpuratus (purple sea urchin). Its description in RNAcentral is "uncharacterized LOC755378". Lineage: Eukaryota; Metazoa; Echinodermata; Echinoidea; Camarodonta; Strongylocentrotidae. The record is from RNAcentral.